Molecule: ribosomal RNA, 396 nt
Filed under: uncultured bacterium
Lineage: Bacteria
Description: bacterial SSU rRNA
Rfam family: Bacterial small subunit ribosomal RNA
Source: RNAcentral
CUACCCUUGACAUGUCCGGAAUCCUGCAGAGAUGCGGGAGUGCCCGAAAGGGAAUCGGAACACAGGUGCUGCAUGGCUGUCGUCAGCUCGUGUCGUGAGAUGUUGGGUUAAGUCCCGCAACGAGCGCAACCCUUAUCAUUAGUUGCUACGCAAGGGCACUCUAAUGAGACUGCCGGUGACAAACCGGAGGAAGGUGGGGAUGACGUCAAGUCCUCAUGGCCCUUAUGGGUAGGGCUUCACACGUCAUACAAUGGUCGGUACAGAGGGUUGCCAAGCCGCGAGGUGGAGCCAAUCCCAGAAAGCCGAUCGUAGUCCGAAUUGUUCUCUGCAACUCGAGAGCAUGAAGUCGGAAUCGCUAGUAAUCGCGGAUCAGCAUGUCGCGGUGAAUACGUUCCC